RNAcentral lists this ribosomal RNA (1474 nucleotides) under metagenome. Its description in RNAcentral is "bacterial LSU rRNA". It matches the Rfam family "Bacterial large subunit ribosomal RNA", at positions 1450 to 2925 of the family's 2925-position model. The record is from RNAcentral.
UUCAUUUGAGCAAUGGGGGGACGCAGGAGGAUAGGGUAAGCGCGGUAUUGGAUAUCCGCGUCCAAGCAGUUAGGCUGGGAAAUAGGCAAAUCCGUUUCCCAUAAGGCUGAGCUGUGAUGGCGAGCGAAAUAUAGUAGCGAAGUUCCUGAUUCCACACUGCCAAGAAAAGCCUCUAGCGAGGUGAGAGGUGCCCGUACCGCAAACCGACACAGGUAGGCGAGGAGAGAAUCCUAAGGUGAUCGAGAGAACUCUCGUUAAGGAACUCGGCAAAAUGACCCCGUAACUUCGGGAGAAGGGGUGCUCUGUUAGGGUGCAAGCCCGAGAGAGCCGCAGUGAAUAGGCCCAGGCGACUGUUUAGCAAAAACACAGGUCUCUGCGAAGCCGUAAGGCGAAGUAUAGGGGCUGACGCCUGCCCGGUGCUGGAAGGUUAAGAGGAGCGCUUAGCGUAAGCGAAGGUGCGAAUUGAAGCCCCAGUAAACGGCGGCCGUAACGAUAACGGUCCUAAGGUAGCGGAAUUCCUUGUCGGGUAAGUUCCGACCCGCACGAAAGGCGCAACGAUCUGGGCACUGUCUCAACGAGAGACUCGGUGAAAUUAUAGUACCUGUGAAGAUGCAGGUUACCCGCGACAGGACGGAAAGACCCCGUGGAGCUUUACUGCAGCCUGAUAUUGAAUGUUGGUACAGCUUGUACAGGAUAGGUAGGAGCCUUGGAAACCGGAGCGCCAGCUUUGGUGGAGGCAUCGGUGGGAUACUACCCUGGCUGUAUUGACCUUCUAACCCGCCGCCCUUAUCGGGCGGGGAGACAGUGUCAGGUGGGCAGUUUGACUGGGGCGGUCGCCUCCUAAAAGGUAACGGAGGCGCCCAAAGGUUCCCUCAGAAUGGUUGGAAAUCAUUCGCAGAGUGUAAAGGCACAAGGGAGCUUGACUGCGAGACCUACAAGUCGAGCAGGGACGAAAGUCGGGCUUAGUGAUCCGGUGGUUCCGCAUGGAAGGGCCAUCGCUCAACGGAUAAAAGCUACCCCGGGGAUAACAGGCUUAUCUCCCCCAAGAGUCCACAUCGACGGGGAGGUUUGGCACCUCGAUGUCGGCUCAUCGCAUCCUGGGGCUGUAGUCGGUCCCAAGGGUUGGGCUGUUCGCCCAUUAAAGCGGUACGCGAGCUGGGUUCAGAACGUCGUGAGACAGUUCGGUCCCUAUCCGUCGCGGGCGCAGGAAAUUUGAGAGGAGCUGUCCUUAGUACGAGAGGACCGGGAUGGACGCACCGCUGGUGUACCAGUUGUUCUGCCAAGGGCAUCGCUGGGUAGCUAUGUGCGGACGGGAUAAGUGCUGAAAGCAUCUAAGCAUGAAGCCCCCCUCAAGAUGAGAUUUCCCAUUCCGCAAGGAAGUAAGAUCCCUGAAAGAUGAUCAGGUUGAUAGGUCUGAGGUGGAAGUGUGGCGACACAUGGAGCUGACAGAUACUAAUCGAUCGAGGACUUAACC